Molecule: ribosomal RNA, 483 nt
Filed under: uncultured bacterium
Lineage: Bacteria
Description: partial 16S ribosomal RNA
Rfam family: Bacterial small subunit ribosomal RNA
Source: RNAcentral
AUUGAACGCUGGCGGCAGGCCUAACACAUGCAAGUCGAGCGGAUGAAGGGAGCUUGCUCCUGGAUUCAGCGGCGGACGGGUGAGUAAUGCCUAGGAAUCUGCCUGGUAGUGGGGGAUAACGUCCGGAAACGGGCGCUAAUACCGCAUACGUCCUGAUGGAGAAAGUGGGGGAUCUUCGGACCUCACGCUAUCAGAUGAGCCUAGGUCGGAUUAGCUAGUUGGUGGGGUAAAGGCCUACCAAGGCGACGAUCCGUAACUGGUCUGAGAGGAUGAUCAGUCACACUGGAACUGAGACACGGUCCAGACUCCUACGGGAGGCAGCAGUGGGGAAUAUUGGACAAUGGGCGAAAGCCUGAUCCAGCCAUGCCGCGUGUGUGAAGAAGGUCUUCGGAUUGUAAAGCACUUUAAGUUGGGAGGAAGGGCAGUAAGUUAAUACCUUGCUGUUUUGACGUUACCAACAGAAUAAGCACCGGCUAACUUCGU